GAUGAAGAACGCAGUGAAAUGCGAUAAGUAAUGUGAAUUGCAGAAUUCAGUGAAUCAUCGAAUCUUUGAACGCACCUUGCGCUCCUUGGUAUUCCAAAGAGCAUGCCUGUUUGAGUAUCAUUAAAUUAUCAACUGUACCAAUUUGGUUGCAGAUUGGAUGUGGGAGAUUUUGCAGGCUUUUGAUUUCUCUUUGAGAAAACGGUCAGCUCUCCUGAAAUAUAUUAGCAGUGCCUUUGUUGGUUCAUUAGGUGUGAUAAUUUAUCUACAUCUUCACAUGGUACCUUCAUUUGUGUAAAGGUCAUAUUGCUUCUAAUUGUCUUUGGACAUAAAAAAAAAAAAACAUAUAAUUGUAUGGAAAACUUGAUCUCAAAUCAGGCAGGACUACCCGCUGAACUUAAGCAUAUCAAUAAGCGGAGGA
This 418-nucleotide unclassified non-coding RNA is filed under the name soil metagenome. Its description in RNAcentral is "partial contains 5.8S ribosomal RNA, internal transcribed spacer 2, and large subunit ribosomal RNA". The stretch from base 1 to 120 matches the Rfam family "5.8S ribosomal RNA", at positions 35 to 154 of the family's 154-position model. The record is from RNAcentral.